UACAGAGGUCUCAAGCGUUGUUCGGAUUCAUUGGGCGGAAAGGGUGCGUAGGCGGCGCGGUAAGUCGGGUGUGAAAUCUCGGAGCUUAACUCCGAAACUGCAUUCGAUACUGCCGUGCUUGAGGACUGGAGAGGAGACUGGAAUUUACGGUGUAGCGGUGAAAUGCGUAGAUAUCGUAAGGAAGACCAGUGGCGAAGGCGGGUCUCUAGACAGUUCCUGACGCUGAGACACGAAGGUCAGGGGAGCAAACGGG
This 253-nucleotide ribosomal RNA is filed under the name uncultured bacterium. Its description in RNAcentral is "partial 16S ribosomal RNA". It matches the Rfam family "Bacterial small subunit ribosomal RNA", at positions 524 to 776 of the family's 1533-position model. The record is from RNAcentral.